AUCAAAUGUCAUUUGUUUAGUUUCAACAAUUAGUAGGUGAUAUGAUAAGUAGUGUAGGCAAUUAUGGUAACAUUGAAAAUUUUGCGUGCGUUGGCUCAAAGAGUUUUAUCAGAAGGAUUUGAAAUUCAGAGAAGAUAAUGACGUUAAGUAGUUGUUUUGUCUAAUUUUAAGUGGUGUCACUACAAGAAAUAUACUCUUUUAUAGCUUUUAAAUAUAGUCAUUUUAAAAAUAAGCUAUAAAAUCAAGUGAGAAAACAUGGAAUAAAGAAGAGAAGAAAAUAUUUACUCAUCGUGCCCAAAAUUUUAGUAUUUUCCACACGCACGACCCAAAAUUGAAGCGAUCGUUUCUCAAUCUCCCUUCUCCUCUUUUGUUCUCCAAAAGAAGAUUUUGCACGUAAAACGUCUAGGACAUCUGAAACUUCUCUCCAAUUUUCUCCUAUUUCGUUUCUCCUCUUACUACUCGUUUCCUUGUCGUUCAUCUAUGAGCGGCGAAGAAGAACAAAGGAUGAUACACCAUUCACAUUGCAAAUGUCCUUAGACCACAUUUUGUGAAAAAACAACGAAUUUCCCUUCCUUUCUUCACACGAAAUCGAACUUUUCUUACAAAUCGAAGUUGCAGCUAUUGCCAUGGGUUUUGUUCUUUAUUAUCGUAGGUGAAGUAUUUGAGGGAAUCAGACAAUUCCAACAAGAUUAGUUUUCUUUUCCUACACUUAUAAAUCUUGUUUGAUUUCUAUUCAAAGCUCUUCAUUCGAUUUGUUUAUUGCCUACUGGGUUUGCUUUUUUCUGACUUCAGUUAACUCUUCCUUUUAAACUAACACUCGAUCACUUCUUUUUUCAGCCUGCAAAAUUCAUGGCUCGAACAUCAGAGUCUACUUUAAGGUGGUCUUAUCCACUUCGUUGCUCUGCAAUCUUUUGGAAUACAAUGAAAACAUCGAAACAUUUAUGCACAAUUGAUUUCGAUCUUCAAGCUUCUAGCCCUUGUCGUCGAGCAUCGUCGUUGCUAUUAUGGAUUAUUACCGUUAUUGUUGUUGCUCAUAUGUUUUGAGUUUGUAGGUACUAAGCAAUCAAGAGGUAAAAUUGGCGAUUUGGAGCUGAACGGGGUUAAUUUGAAGCAAAUUAGAGUUGAUUUGAGCAUCCGAACUUCAAAUGAGUUAAAAAGAUCAAAAUGCCUCUAUUAGAGCGUCGCAACGCUCGUGAUUUGCUUAGCCCAAAUGCUCUACGUUGGAAGGCAGAAUGCUAUGGUGCAGGGUAGCGUUGCAACGCUACGAACAUUGAGACGGAGAUGCCCUCAUGCGCAUGCAAGUGAGCGUUAGCCCAACGUUGCGCCUCUAUGUCUGACGCUUGAGACCAGUCGCAUUAAAGCAUUACAACGCUCUAUCUAACGUUGCGACACUGCCACUUUUCUAUAAAACAUCCCUUCGGUUUUUAGGUUAAUUUAUGCUGAAAAUUCAUGGCGACUGAAGGGUUGUGAAUUUAGAGAGGCUAUGGAGGCUGAGGAGAGGCUUUACUAUCUUCUUUCCCUUUGAUAUUUUUGGUAUCGUUAGAUUAGAUUUUAGUUUUAAUUUUAAAUUGUAAACAUGUAUUGGCUUGAACUCUUGAAUUUGUCUAUGAAUUUAUGA
Molecule: long non-coding RNA, 1618 nt
Organism: Benincasa hispida (wax gourd)
Lineage: Eukaryota; Viridiplantae; Streptophyta; Magnoliopsida; Cucurbitales; Cucurbitaceae
Source: RefSeq, a predicted model, not a curated record